Molecule: transfer RNA, 75 nt
Filed under: Candidatus Berkelbacteria bacterium
Lineage: Bacteria; Candidatus Berkelbacteria
Description: tRNA-Met
Rfam family: tRNA
About the family: Transfer RNA (tRNA) molecules are approximately 80 nucleotides in length. Their secondary structure includes four short double-helical elements and three loops (D, anti-codon, and T loops).
Source: RNAcentral
CGCGGGGUGGAGAAGUGGCAUCUCACCAGGCUCAUAACCUGGGGAUCGGCGGUUCGAGUCCGCCCCCCGCUACCA